GCGCACUGCUCAGUAACACGUGGACAACCUGCCCUGAGGACUGGAAUAAUCCCGGGAAACUGGGGGUAAUUCCAGAUAUGUCAGAACUCCUGGAAUGGGUUCUGGCAGAAAGGCUCCGGCGCCUCAGGAUGGGUCUGCGGCCUAUCAGGGUAGUAGUGGGUGUAACGUACCUACUAGCCUACGACGGGUACGGGUUGUGAGAGCAAGAGCCCGGAGAUGGAUUCUGAGACAUGAAUCCAGGCCCUACGGGGUGCAGCAGGCGCGAAAACUUUACAAUGCGGGCAACCGCGAUAAGGGGACCUCGAGUGCUGGGUUACAAACCUGGCUGUUGGGCUGCCUAAAAAGCAGUCUAUAACAAGGGCCGGGCAAGACCGGUGCCAGCCGCCGCGGUAACACCGGCGGCUCGAGUGGUAACCGCUAUUAUUGGGUCUAAAGGGUCUGUAGCCGGCCGACUAAGUCUCUUGGGAAAUCUGGCAUCUCAAGUGUCAGGCUGCCAGGGGAUACUGGUCGGCUUGGGACCGGGAGAGGUGAGAGGUACCUCGGGGGUAGGGGUGAAAUCUUGUAAUCCUCGAGGGACCACCAGUGGCGAAGGCGUCUCAC
Molecule: ribosomal RNA, 600 nt
Filed under: uncultured archaeon
Lineage: Archaea
Description: bacterial SSU rRNA
Rfam family: Archaeal small subunit ribosomal RNA
Source: RNAcentral